UACGAAGGGUGCUAGCGUUGUUCGGAAUCACUGGGCGUAAAGCGCACGUAGGCGGGUCCUUAAGUCAGGGGUGAAAUCCUGGAGCUCAACUCCAGAACUGCCCUUGAUACUGAGGAUCUCGAGUUCGGGAGAGGUGAGUGGAACUGCGAGUGUAGAGGUGAAAUUCGUAGAUAUUCGCAAGAACACCAGUGGCGAAGGCGGCUCACUGGCCCGAUACUGACGCUGAGGUGCGAAAGCGUGGGGAGCAAACAGG
RNAcentral lists this ribosomal RNA (253 nucleotides) under uncultured bacterium. Its description in RNAcentral is "partial 16S ribosomal RNA". It matches the Rfam family "Bacterial small subunit ribosomal RNA", at positions 524 to 776 of the family's 1533-position model. The record is from RNAcentral.